Molecule: ribosomal RNA, 353 nt
Filed under: uncultured bacterium
Lineage: Bacteria
Description: partial 16S ribosomal RNA
Rfam family: Bacterial small subunit ribosomal RNA
Source: RNAcentral
CCUACGGGAGGCAGCAGUGGGGAAUAUUGGACAAUGGGGGGAACCCUGAUCCAGCGACGCCGCGUGAGUGAAGAAGUAUUUCGGUAUGUAAAGCUCUAUCAGCCGGGAAGAAAAUGACGGUACCUGACUAAGCAGCCCCGGCUAACUACGUGCCAGCAUCCGCGGUAAUACGUAGGGGGCAAGCGUUAACCGGCUUUACUGGGUGUAAAGGCAGCGUAGACGGUGCAGUAAGGCCGAGGUGAAAGGUCGGGGCCCAACCCCGGGACUGCAUUGGAAACUGUUGAACUGGAGUAGAGGAGAGGUAAGCGGAAUUCGUGGUGGAGCGGUGAAAUGUGGAGAUAUUAGGAGGAACA